RNAcentral lists this ribosomal RNA (705 nucleotides) under uncultured Arthrobacter sp. RNAcentral's name for it is "bacterial SSU rRNA". It matches the Rfam family "Bacterial small subunit ribosomal RNA", at positions 413 to 1129 of the family's 1533-position model. The record is from RNAcentral. Lineage: Bacteria; Bacillati; Actinomycetota; Actinomycetes; Micrococcales; Micrococcaceae.
GGCCUUCGGGUUGUAAACCUCUUUCAGUAGGGAAGAAGCGAAAGUGACGGUACCUGCAGAAGAAGCGCCGGCUAACUACGUGCCAGCAGCCGCGGUAAUACGUAGGGCGCAAGCGUUAUCCGGAAUUAUUGGGCGUAAAGAGCUCGUAGGCGGUUUGUCGCGUCUGCCGUGAAAGUCCGGGGCUCAACUCCGGAUCUGCGGUGGGUACGGGCAGACUAGAGUGAUGUAGGGGAGACUGGAAUUCCUGGUGUAGCGGUGAAAUGCGCAGAUAUCAGGAGGAACACCGAUGGCGAAGGCAGGUCUCUGGGCAUUAACUGACGCUGAGGAGCGAAAGCAUGGGGAGCGAACAGGAUUAGAUACCCUGGUAGUCCAUGCCGUAAACGUUGGGCACUAGGUGUGGGGGACAUUCCACGUUUUCCGCGCCGUAGCUAACGCAUUAAGUGCCCCGCCUGGGGAGUACGGCCGCAAGGCUAAAACUCAAAGGAAUUGACGGGGGCCCGCACAAGCGGCGGAGCAUGCGGAUUAAUUCGAUGCAACGCGAAGAACCUUACCAAGGCUUGACAUGAACCGGAAACGCCUGGAGACAGGUGCCCCGCUUGCGGUCGGUUUACAGGUGGUGCAUGGUUGUCGUCAGCUCGUGUCGUGAGAUGUUGGGUUAAGUCCCGCAACGAGCGCAACCCUCGUUCUAUGUUGCCAGCACGUGAU